GUGAAUCAUCGAAUCUUUGAACGCACAUUGCGCCUUUUGGUAUUCCGAGAGGCACGUCUGUUUGAGCGUCAGCAAAACCUUCCGGCCCCCGGUUUGUUCCGGGAAGCUCGGGCGUGCUGGCGCGGGGACUGGCCGCCGCGCUUCGGUGCGGGCGGGCCUUCCCCCGCUUAAAGGUGUGGAAGCUAGCGGGGUGUGCCCCGGAUCGCGACGACUCGUAAGCUUUUUUUACCGUCGAAGUCAAUCCGGACGCCCCCGCCUCACAAAACACUGGCCGUUUUUUUUCCGGCCUUGAACCCUUGA
RNAcentral lists this unclassified non-coding RNA (300 nucleotides) under uncultured fungus. RNAcentral describes it as "sequence contains 5.8S rRNA gene, ITS2". The stretch from base 1 to 71 matches the Rfam family "5.8S ribosomal RNA", at positions 84 to 154 of the family's 154-position model. Lineage: Eukaryota; Fungi. The record is from RNAcentral.